GACGAACGCUGGCGGCGUGCGUAACACAUGCAAGUCGAACGAGAGAGUGAGAGAAGCUUGCUUUUCUUAUGAUCGAGUGGCAAACGGGUGAGUAACGCGUAAACAACCUGCCCCGCAGAUGGGGACAACAGCUGGAGACGGCUGCUAAUACCGAAUACGCUCCUCUUAGCGCAUGGUAAGAGGAAGAAAGGGUGGCCUCUGGAACAAGCUACCGCUGUGGGAGGGGUUUGCGUCUGAUUAGCUGGUUGGAGGGGUAACGGCCCACCAAGGCGACGAUCAGUAGCCGGUCUGAGAGGAUGAACGGCCACAUUGGAACUGAGACACGGUCCAGACUCCUACGGGAGGCAGCAGUGGGGAAUCUUCCGCAAUGGGCGAAAGCCUGACGGAGCAACGCCGCGUGAGUGAAGACGGCCUUCGGGUUGUAAAGCUCUGUUAUAGGGGACGAACGGCCGGGUAGCGAAGAGGUAGCCGGCAUGACGGUACCGUAAGAGAAAGCCACGGCUAACUACGUGCCAGCAGCCGCGGUAAUACGUAGGUGGCAAGCGUUGUCCGGAAUGAUUGGGCGUAAAGGGCGCGCAGGCGGCUGUGUAAGUCUGUCUAAAAAGUGCGGGGCUAAACCCCGUGAGAGGAUGGAAACUGGACAGCUGAGAGUGUCGGAGAGGAAAGCGGAAUUCCUAGUGUAGCGGUGAAAUGCGUAGAUAUUAGGAGGAACACCGGUGGCGAAAGCGGCUUUCUGGACGACAACUGACGCUGAGGCGCGAAAGCCAGGGGAGCAAACGGGAUUAGAUACCCCGGUAGUCCUGGCCGUAAACGAUGGGUACUAGGUGUAGGAGGUAUCGACCCCUCCUGUGCCGGAGUUAACGCAAUAAGUACCCCGCCUGGGGAGUACGGCCGCAAGGCUGAAACUCAAAGGAAUUGACGGGGGCCCGCACAAGCGGUGGA
RNAcentral lists this ribosomal RNA (942 nucleotides) under Megasphaera geminata. RNAcentral's name for it is "bacterial SSU rRNA". It matches the Rfam family "Bacterial small subunit ribosomal RNA", at positions 28 to 936 of the family's 1533-position model. Lineage: Bacteria; Bacillati; Bacillota; Negativicutes; Veillonellales; Veillonellaceae. The record is from RNAcentral.